AAUGUUCAGUUUGGUGAGCCAAUGAGUUUUAUUGGAGUUACUUACAGGAUACGGGUGAGGGGGUACUUAUAGGAGUAGAAAUGACUCAAAGACAGCUGCAUCACAAAUUUCAACCCAGCAUGGGUGACAGCUCACAAACUGGAGCACACUCCAUACCCUGCAGGAGCUCAACAGGUUGGAGAUGGUUCUUUCUUGGUGCCUCAGUUGGUCCAAACCUCUUGUAGGCACCUCAGCAGGUUUCUGCUUCUUCCGGGAGCUGCCCUGGUCUGAGAGUCUUCUCUGGAGCUUUGCUGCUCAGCUUUUCUUUCUUUUAGAGGGACUCUCCGCUUCUGUUGCUUACUCUGGCAGGGAGCGGCUGAGUGAAUGUGGUCAGGUUCAGGGGCUUCCUGAAGUUUCUGUGAUUAGUUUACUAUCCUUCAGGAACUUCCCCGCAGGAUGCAAUGUUUCAAUCUCAUAGGAAACUGUUACUAUCCCCAUAGAAAUUAUAUUUAUACCAAUGUUUUUUUGCACUGGAGAGAUGGCUCAACUGUUAAAGGCUAGGCUCACAGAAAGUACAAACAGUACUAAGUGAUAACAGAAUGUGGAUGGCCAGCUGAGAUGCUCACAUUCUGAGGGUGAAUUGUAAAUUGGAAAGUAAAUUGUAAGUUGGCUACUUCUGUUAGAGAUGAACUGCUAUGAGAUGAAUUACUUUGAACCAGCAAAUUCUGUGUCUAAGAGUAUGCCUAAGAGUAAUUUGUACAUACGUUCACCAAAAGAUGUGUAUGAAAAUGUUUAUAGCAGUAUUGUUUAUAAGAGCUUCAAAAAAUUAUCCAAAUGUCCAUCAGAAAUAAAAGAAAUAAAAUGCAAUGGAUUCUUACAGUACAAUACUUCACAGCAAUAAGAAUUAAUAUGGACUGUAUCAUAUAAUACACAUGAAUUUUUUCUGUGUUGGUAAAUGUUUUCAGUAUGGAGUGAAAGAAAACCAAACCAAAAACAAAUUGUAUGAUACUGUUCACAUAGAUUAGGGCUAAGGAUACAGCUUAGUGGUACAGGUACGAGUCUGUGGGUUGACCCUCUAACGCUAAACAAACUGAAGAACUGUUUAUAUAGUGUAGUCAAAGAUAUCCUGAGGUGUUAGAAGUCACAAUUGUGGUUUCUUUUAGAGGCUUUUCAAGUAGAAGAAAUCAUGAUUAGGUUUUUUUGGUUCAGUAGUUUAAAUUUGAAAAGUAAAAGUGAAAAUUUAUUGAGCUUAGGACAUUAUAUACUUCAACUUAAACAUGUUCUUAAAGGAACUGGAGCAACGGCUCAAUGGUUAAGAGCACUCACUGCUCUUGCAGAGGACCCAGGUUUGGUUCCAGCAUCAUUGAACAUGGCAGCUCCUAAUUGUCUGUGGUGCCAGUUCCAGAGAAUCCAAUCCUCUAGAGGCACCUAAACACACAUGACACACACAUGUACACUCAGAUUAAAAUAGAAUCCAAUCCUCUAGAGGCACCUAAACACACAUGACACACACAUGUACACUCAGAUUAAAAUUCCCUUUUGAGAUAGAGUUUCUCUGUGUAGCCUUAGCUGCCCUGGGUUUUGUUCUGUAGACCAUGCUGGCUCAGAGGUCCACCUGCUUCUUCCUCCCACGGGUUGGGAUUGCACCCAUGCUCCACCACCACCUAGGUGAAUGGAGCUUCCUCUGGGUGUUGUGGGACCAGCUUCGGAGUUCUUGCCCAAGGUCUGCUCAGGGCAUGGGCCCAGACCGGAAGGAACCUGUGUCACUGGUUGGGCGGAGUUCCUGGGUGCCUCAGCUCUUAUUUUUUUAUGUCAGAAUAAAAAGUGUCAAUGGCUAAAAAGAACGUUGACAAAGUGGGAAGAGGUGUUUUUCAUGCUUUCUGUUCCCAGAGAGGUUACAUUUUUAAGCUAGCUUUCUAAGAUGAAACUGAAGCUGUACCCGCCUGCUUGUUUUUCUUAGCCCUCAUUUUUGUUGUUAGAUCUUCUUGUUCAUAGGAUAUGCUGCGUUAAUAUUUCCUGUCUGCCAUGCCUGUAUUAGCUGAGAUUCCUAUUAAUCUGUGUUAGCUUUCUCUGGUGGGUCAUUUCUAUUACUGGCAUCCCCCAAAUAGAGAUAUGCAUAUCGAUUUGUGUUCGGUGGUAGAGCAAAGUUUCUGAGGACUGGUAAACCCCUGCAGCAGUGUUAGUCUCGGGGAUGCUGGAGAUCUGGACAGAACUAUGUGGAGCUACUGCUCAGCUGUGGUCUUUAAACCAAGGCUUUUCUUUAAUGACCCAGAGCCACAUUUGCAGUGAGGCUGAGGAAGGAGCUGCUUUUCUGUUUAUUAGAGGUGACAUGGGCAGCGGGGCAGUGGCAAAGAGGCCAUGUUGCUCUUGUUAAAUAUACAUCCCUGACAGUUGGAUAAUAGGUUCCAGGAAGUUCAGUGGAAAAUUAAAACAAAGCAACAUUUAUAGCUGAUUGAACUUGAAAAGCCAUUUUGGUGUUGAAUGGCAAAUAUGUGGACUUCAGCAUUCCUAGAGCCUGAUGCAUCCUGCUGGAUGGCCCUGUCUCGUGUACACGAGGGCUGGGCACUCAGCAGUGUGCAGGGUGCUUAGGGGGAAAAGAAAGCUUUCUGCCAGAAGUCUUCUUUGCAUAGAGUUAUGGAACACAAAUUUCCCCCUAUCAGGGAACAUGGUUCCUCUGAUGGUUAGAGGCCUAUCUUGUUAGAAGGACUGGAAUGUCUGGCAAGAGUCAGGGGAUCUCUUAUGUACUAUAAAUACUCCUAGUCUCCUACUGAGGCUGGAUCUUCAAGCAGAUUAUUGUAGUGUAUUCACAUGACUUUAGCGUGGAAACACUUUGAUAUUGUCCCAGUUUUGUCCUAAGAUGUUAAGAUUAGAAGGCUUUGGAUUCAUGUGUGAGAUGAUUGGUUUACUU
Molecule: long non-coding RNA, 2887 nt
Filed under: Mus musculus (house mouse)
Lineage: Eukaryota; Metazoa; Chordata; Mammalia; Rodentia; Muridae
Description: long non-coding RNA chr19:46213098-46215985
Source: RNAcentral